RNAcentral lists this transfer RNA (73 nucleotides) under Bos taurus (domestic cattle). It matches the Rfam family "tRNA". Rfam says of the family: Transfer RNA (tRNA) molecules are approximately 80 nucleotides in length. The record is from Rfam by way of RNAcentral. RNAcentral also lists the same sequence under 4 other names. Lineage: Eukaryota; Metazoa; Chordata; Mammalia; Artiodactyla; Bovidae.
UCCCUGGUGGUCCAGUGGCUAAGACUCCAUGCUUCCAAUUCAGGGGGCCCAGGUUUGAUCCCUGGUCAGGGAA